Molecule: transfer RNA, 73 nt
Filed under: Ovis aries (sheep)
Lineage: Eukaryota; Metazoa; Chordata; Mammalia; Artiodactyla; Bovidae
Also listed under: 1 other name
Rfam family: tRNA
About the family: Transfer RNA (tRNA) molecules are approximately 80 nucleotides in length.
Source: Rfam by way of RNAcentral
UCCCUGAUGGUCCAGUGGUUAUGACUCCAUGCUUCUAAUGCAGGGGGCCCGGGUUCAAGCUCUGGUCAGGGAA